RNAcentral lists this ribosomal RNA (448 nucleotides) under uncultured bacterium. RNAcentral's name for it is "SSU rRNA". It matches the Rfam family "Bacterial small subunit ribosomal RNA", at positions 26 to 518 of the family's 1533-position model. The record is from RNAcentral.
AGAGCGAACGCUGGCGGCAGGCUUAACACAUGCAAGUCGAGCGGGCGUAGCAAUACGUCAGCGGCAGACGGGUGAGUAACGCGUGGGAACAUACCUUUUGGUUCGGAACAACACAGGGAAACUUGUGCUAAUACCGGAUAAGCCCUUACGGGGAAAGAUUUAUCGCCGAAAGAUUGGCCCGCGUCUGAUUAGCUAGUUGGUGAGGUAACGGCUCACCAAGGCGACGAUCAGUAGCUGGUCUGAGAGGAUGAUCAGCCACAUUGGGACUGAGACACGGCCCAAACUCCUACGGGAGGCAGCAGUGGGGAAUAUUGGACAAUGAGCGCAAGCCUGAUCCAGCCAUGCCGCGUGAGUGAUGAAGGCCCUAGGGUUGUAAAGCUCUUUUGUGCGGGAAGAUAAUGACGGUACCGCAAGAAUAAGCCCCGGCUAACUUCGCGCCAGCAGCCGC